UUCAGAGCCAACAACAAGUCCAACAAGGUACAAGUGCAGAACAACACACCCACCAACGACGCGCCCAAAGAAAAGUUGCCUCGCGGUCGACCACCGAAGCAUAAACGCGUUGAAGUUAUGAAAAAUGAGCAUUGUUCGGACGAGGAGUCGUCAUCUAGCGCGGCGGGGUGCGGCGGCGCCGGCGGCGGCAAGCGGUGGCGGGGC
Long non-coding RNA from Papilio machaon (common yellow swallowtail), 204 nucleotides. RefSeq lists it as uncharacterized. The record is from RefSeq and is a predicted model, not a curated record. The transcript is spliced from 3 exons. NCBI's taxonomy places the organism in Eukaryota, Metazoa, Arthropoda, Insecta, Lepidoptera, Papilionidae.